AUGUUGCUCUUGCGAUUGAGGGUUUCGCCGCAAACCUUCCGCGACAGAUCUACAACCAUGCGGGUUUCCCAUCUCGUCCUCCUUGCUAUUAGUGUCAUCCUGUCCCGUCAGGUCCCACCUCAAUCACCCCAACCAUCAUUGCCACUUGCUGGUGGCGGUGGGAAGAAGAGAAAAAACCCGAGGAGGAAGCAGGAGGGCAUGGAUCGCACAGCUAAGUUGGGGGCUGUUGAGGAGGAAAAGGGGCCAACACCGAACACCUUGCUCCUCCCCCGGUUGAGUGGUCCAAUGAAACAAAGGAUCACCGAGGAGUAUCGUCGGUUGUUUGGGGCUUUUGGUGGUAUUGAAGAAUUCUUUCACCAGGUCCAUGAGUUUCUUAGCACUCUUGUAGAUGCGAGGGACGAACUACUACAAAAGUCUGAGAACACCCGAAGAAGCAUCACAAUAAGGAAGGCCAUGUUAUCUAACAGUCGUAAUGGUAGGUCUUCACAUGACCACCUUCGCCUAUGUCAACAGGUGGAUAAGUUGGAAUUUGAAUAUGAAAGACUAAAGAAAGAUGCCAGCAUUUACCAUAAUCUCCAUGAGCAGCUUCAGCUGUCAUCGUGCUACAAACUGAUGGAGGAGAGCAACGAUGAAGCGGAGAAGAGAAUCCGUGAAGGAGCCUUCGCCAAAGGGGUGCGCGAUACCGCCUUCGAGGAACUGCUGGCCGUGGAGAAGAAGGACAACGCUUUCUGGCGUCGUGACGGGAAGCUGAGGUCGAUCUCGGACAGCAUGUAG
RNAcentral lists this ribosomal RNA (774 nucleotides) under Triticum aestivum (bread wheat). RNAcentral's name for it is "partial small subunit ribosomal RNA". Lineage: Eukaryota; Viridiplantae; Streptophyta; Magnoliopsida; Poales; Poaceae. The record is from RNAcentral.